GACGAACGCUGGCGGCGUGCUUAACACAUGCAAGUCGAACGGAAAGGCCCUGCUUUUGUGGGGUGCUCGAGUGGCGAACGGGUGAGUAACACGUGAGUAACCUGCCCCUGACUUUGGGAUAACUUCAGGAAACUGGGGCUAAUACCGGAUAGGAGCUCCUGCUGCAUGGUGGGGGUUGGAAAGUUUCGGCGGUUGGGUAUGGACUCGCGGCUUAUCAGCUUGUUGGUGGGGUAGUGGCUGACCAAGGCUUUGACGGGUAGCCGGCCUGAGAGGGUGACCGGCCACAUUGGGACUGAGAUACGGCCCAGACUCCUACGGGAGGCAGCAGUGGGGAAUAUUGCACAAUGGGCGGAAGCCUGAUGCAGCAACGCCGCGUGCGGGAUGACGGCCUUCGGGUUGUAAACCGCUUUCGCCUGUGACGAAGCGUGAGUGACGGUAAUGGGUAAAGAAGCACCGGCUAACUACGUG
RNAcentral lists this ribosomal RNA (468 nucleotides) under uncultured bacterium. Its description in RNAcentral is "partial 16S ribosomal RNA". It matches the Rfam family "Bacterial small subunit ribosomal RNA", at positions 28 to 507 of the family's 1533-position model. The record is from RNAcentral.